This 510-nucleotide ribosomal RNA is filed under the name Saturnispora saitoi. RNAcentral describes it as "eukaryotic LSU rRNA". It matches the Rfam family "Eukaryotic large subunit ribosomal RNA", at positions 89 to 650 of the family's 3401-position model. Lineage: Eukaryota; Fungi; Ascomycota; Pichiomycetes; Pichiales; Pichiaceae. The record is from RNAcentral.
GCGAGUGAAGCGGCAAAAGCUCCACUUUGAAAGCGUUUCGGCGCGUUGUAGUGUGGUGCAGUCUUUGAACGGCGAAUAACUAAGUCCCUUGGAACAGGGUGCCAUAGAGGGUGAGAGCCCCGUGAGUUAUUUUUUUAAAGUUCUUUAAGUCUGUACUAAAGAGUCGAGUUGUUUGGGAAUGCAGCUCUAAGUGGGUGGUAAAUUCCAUCUAAGGCUAAAUACCGGCGAGAGACCGAUAGCGAACAAGUACAGUGAUGGAAAGAUGAAAAGCACUUUGAAAAGAGAGUGAAACAGUACGUGAAAUUGUUGAAAGGGAAGGGUAUUUGGCCCGACAUGGGUCCUGUGCACCGUUGCCUCUUGUGGGCGGCGCUCUGCUGGGGCCUGGGCCAGCAUCAUUUUUCUGGCGGGGAUAAGGUUGCGUGAACCACCUAGUGGGGAUCGUGGCGAUGCCCGCACGGGGGAAUGAGGACUGCCGCUGUAGGAUGCUGGCACAACGGCCAAAUACCGCCC